Molecule: ribosomal RNA, 506 nt
Filed under: uncultured bacterium
Lineage: Bacteria
Description: partial 16S ribosomal RNA
Rfam family: Bacterial small subunit ribosomal RNA
Source: RNAcentral
AGUGAACGCUGGCGGUAGGCCUAACACAUGCAAGUCGAACGGCAGCACAGAGGAGCUUGCUCCUUGGGUGGCGAGUGGCGGACGGGUGAGGAAUACAUCGGAAUCUACUCUGUCGUGGGGGAUAACGUAGGGAAACUUACGCUAAUACCGCAUACGACCUACGGGUGAAAGCAGGGGACCUUCGGGCCUUGCGCGAUUGAAUGAGCCGAUGUCGGAUUAGCUAGUUGGCGGGGUAAAGGCCCGCCAAGGCGACGAUCCGUAGCUGGUCUGAGAGGAUGGUCAGCCACACUGGAACUGAGACACGGUCCAGACUCCUACGGGAGGCAGCAGUGGGGAAUAUAGGACAAUGGGCGCAAGCCUGAUCCAGCCAUACCGCGUGGGUGAAGAAGGCCUUCGGGUUGUAAAGCCCUUUUGUUGGGAAAGAAAUCCAGCUGGCUAAUACCCGGUUGGGAUGACGGUACCCAAAGAAUAAGCACCGGCUAACUUCGUGCCAGCCGCCGCAGUAA